This 253-nucleotide ribosomal RNA is filed under the name uncultured bacterium. RNAcentral's name for it is "partial 16S ribosomal RNA". It matches the Rfam family "Bacterial small subunit ribosomal RNA", at positions 524 to 776 of the family's 1533-position model. The record is from RNAcentral.
UACGAAGGGGGCUAGCGUUGUUCAGAUUUACUGGGCGUAAAGCGCACGUAGGCGGAUCGUUAAGUCGGGGGUGAAAUCCUGGAGCUCAACUCCAGAACUGCCUUCGAUACUGGCGAUCUUGAGUCCGGAAGAGGUGAGUGGAACUCCUAGUGUAGAGGUGGAAUUCGUAGAUAUUAGGAAGAACACCAGUGGCGAAGGCGACUGACUGGACAUGUAUUGACGCUGAGGUGCGAAAGCGUGGGGAGCAAACAGG